GGUCUAUUUAUAUCCCCCCGACCCACUGGGGGUAAAAGGAAAUUAUAACAAAACCUAUUUUAAAAGGGGGACUUAAAAGACUGUAACAAUUAGAAAGGAAACGCGCUUUUAUCAAUGCCUGCAAGAUUAAUUUGCUCUAUUAUCUUGUCUCGUAUCAGAACAGCAAUAGAUGAGAGACUAAGAGACGAACAGGCUGGUUUUCGACCGGAUAAGUAAUGUUCAGAUCAACUGUUUGUUCUGAGAAAUAUCGCAGAACAAAACAAAUAAUGAAAUGUCUCAAUUUUUAAAAACUUACUGGACUUGAGUCUUAGACGAAGUUGACGGAGAGGCCCUGUUGAAUUUUUUUGCAAUAUAUGGCAUCCCAACAAAAGUAAGAAACUGUAUAAGAUCAUUAUAUUAUACCAAAGCAAGCUGCUGUGUUGAAAGAGAACUAUCUAUAUCUUUUUAAGUAAAUACUGUUGUUGGACAAGGCUGUAUAUUAUCACCUGUACUUUUUGGAAUUGUGAUCGAUUUUGUAAUGAGACAGAGCAAAGACAUUAAAACAAACAUUGCAUGGACAAGUGGCACAUAUUUAACAGAUUUAGAUUUUGCGGAUGACAUCUGCCUAUUAAACACCAAAGUACAUGAAAUGCAAUCAAAAUCAGAAGUACUAGCAAAAGUUGCAGAAAAAGUUGACCUUAUAAUAAAUGUAUCUAAAAUAGAAGUACUACGACUAUUAUCAGAAACUACGCCCAUCACUCUUUAUUGAGAACCCCAAGUAGAAAUAAUUAUUAAAUUCAAGUACCUUAGCAGCAUUAAAUCCAAAACUGCAGACUGCCUUGACGACGUCCACGGAAGACUUAAAAAUACCCUGAUCGCUUUUGUGAAAUUAGAAACUAUGUAUGGAAGUUAAAGAUCAUUUCAUUGAAGACGAAAUUAAAAUAAAUAUAAGAAUAGCAAUAUUUUUGUCUGUAUUGACGUAUGGGUCAGAGACAUGGGCAACAAACAAAACAAUUCAACGAAAAUGAAAAAAGCUUCGGUACAAAAUGUUUACUAAAAAUCUUUACUAAUGAAAUAUAAUUAGUUCAUUGCAAAUAAAGAAGUGUUGGAAAGAGCAUGAAUUUAGGAUAUCAACACAUCCACACGCCUACUCGUAGUAUUUGAAACCAACUGGAAAAAACAAACGAGGAAGACCAACUGGAA
Molecule: long non-coding RNA, 1182 nt
Organism: Aplysia californica (California sea hare)
Lineage: Eukaryota; Metazoa; Mollusca; Gastropoda; Aplysiida; Aplysiidae
Exons: 3
Source: RefSeq, a predicted model, not a curated record